RNAcentral lists this ribosomal RNA (2800 nucleotides) under Triticum aestivum (bread wheat). RNAcentral's name for it is "partial small subunit ribosomal RNA". Lineage: Eukaryota; Viridiplantae; Streptophyta; Magnoliopsida; Poales; Poaceae. The record is from RNAcentral.
ACUGGUUGUGUCAGGUCAAACAUGGACCAAAUUGUUUAUAAUUAUUUUCCGUUCCCAAAACACCAGUAGCAUCUCCAUAAAGGAAGACAUCGUAUUCUCCCUCCUCCAUUUCUGGUCUUCCGAAAUCCAUCCUGUCAAACAAGAAACAAACCUCCUCUUUCUCCCUCCUCUCCCCUCUUCGAAUCAUCGCCGGGGCGCGAAUUGGCGCUGGUUUCUGGAUUCGACGAUGAAAUCGCCAUUGCGCAAGUUCCGGGGCCUCGCCCUCCCCCACCACCACAAGGAGAAGAAGGACCAACGGCCGCCGCCCGCCAAGCUCGACAACCUCGUCGACGCCGCCCAGGAGAUGGAGGAAAUGAGAACUUGUUAUGAUAGCUUGCUUUCGGCUGCAGCUGCAACAACAAAUAGUGUAUAUGAGUUUGCAGAAGCUAUGGAAGAAAUGGGAACUUGCUUACUUGAGAAAACUGCAUUGGAUUGCGAUGAUGAUGACAGUGGCAGGGUGCUGAUGAUGCUAGGAAAGGCUCAAUUCGAACUACAAAAGUUUGUGGAUAACUAUCGCACAAAUAUCAUAAAUACAAUCACAAACCCUUCAGAGUCUCUUCUCAAGGAGCUACAAGUUGUAGAGGAAAUGAAGGACCACUGUGAUCAGAAAAGAGAGGAAUAUGAAACCAUGCGGUCAGCCUAUAAAGAUAAAGGACGAUCAAGGCAUCCCAAAACUGAAACAUUCUCCCCAGAACAAUUGCAAGCGUCCUAUCUCGAGUACCAAGAAGAUGCAACAUUAUUCAUAUUUCGCAUGAAAUCAUUGAAGCAAGGUCAAUUCUUGAGUAUUUUAACACAGGCUGCUCGCCAUCAUGCUGCUCAGUUGAGUUUUUUCAGGAAAGGGUUGAAGUAUCUAGAGGCUCUAGAACCUCAUGUAAAAGCAGUUGCUGAGAAGCAGCACAUUGAUUAUCACUUCAGUGGACUAGAUGAUGACACUGAUAAUGAUGAUUACAGCUCUUACCAGGACAAUCAUAGUGAGGGCAGUGAGUUGAGUUUUGACUACGGGAUAAACUUUCCUGCUUCCAGGAGUUCAAUGGAUUUGGAUCAGUCUAAUAUGGCGAGUCCCACGAAACCUCUGAAGGAACAUGAGCAGGAACAUGCCAAACAAAGAGAGACUGAUUUUGCAGCUCCUCGAGUGAAGCCUGAGUUUGGUACUCAAUCAGCACCAAUUUUUGCUGAUAAUGUGCUUGAUCCAUCUGUGAGGCUUCGCAAGUUGAAUUCUCCAAUGUUCUCGAGCCCACUACAGUCAAGUAGAACAAACUAUUCCUACAAACUCCCGACACCAGCUGAUGAUAAAAUCUCCACUUCAGCAGACACUAACAGAUCACCUCAUUCAGACAAACCAGAGAGUUCACAUGUGGCAGCAAAUUUGUGGCAUUCCUCUCCGCUCGUGAAAGAUUAUAAGCCGAGCUCCUUGUAUAGCGGGCCUGUUAAGAUGCCAUCAAGUACUGAGAGGAGAUCAUCACCAUUAGUUUAUUCCUACUCCACUUCAGAUUCUAAGAAAAUGAAGAGGGAAUCUUUUUCUGGCCCAAUUCCUAGUAAAGCAGGGCUAAGCAAACCCUUGUUUUCAGCUGCUGGUCACAGAGCAUCAGUAAAUUAUCCUCCUCGUGUUAUGUCAACAAAAUCACAUGGACCAGGUUCUCUUCCAUCUGUGGCUCCAAAAGUCCCUAGGAUAACUUCACUGCCAACAACAUCCCCCAGAAUUAGUGAGCUUCAUGAGCUGCCUAGGCCUCCUGCAGCUUUAGACACUCUCCGGCCUGGUUUGGUUGGAUAUUCUGGUCCUUUGGUAUCAAGGCGGCAAAUUCCUACCCGUGCCUCCCCACCGUCAAAUACAGCAUCACCGCUUCCACGACCACCUGCUGCCAUGACUCGCAGCUAUUCUAUACCUUCAAACAGCCAAAGAACACCUAUUAUUACUGUGAAUAAGUUGUUGGAGUCUAGGCAUAGCAGAGAGAGCAGCGAAGUGUCCUCGCCCCCACUAACACCUAUAUCUUUGGCAGAUGUUUCCCGCAAAGCAAUAGCAGAAACAACUAUAGACACCAGAAGGAUGAAGGGUAAGUUUCUACUGCUAAAUAAUUGGUUUCACACAUAUUUAUCUCUAGAUAAUAAUUUCAUGUUUAAACCUCACCAUAGAUUUCUGUUCUGAACUGUGCCUUAAGUGUUGGUUUUACUCCAUUAUUGUUUUCGAUCAUCUCACUGCGAUAUGUUUUCCAUUUUUAGAUAUCUGCUCUUUUCAAUGGUUUCAUUGGUUUUGAUCAUGGCAUUGUGAGUAGUUUUAGGGAAAGUAUUUAGAUCAUACUAUAGUUCACAACUUCACAUGUGAAUGAAAUGCAAUCCACUCAUGAUUUUUUUUGCAAGAUUCCAAGAUUCAGAUAUAUUCAGUAUUUUACUGCACAAAUGCUACUACACACAAUGUAUAAUGCCAUGUCUAACUAUACUCUAUCCUUUGAUUGCAGAAACCUUGUGAGCACUCACACAUCCAAACCUGUUUAUAAUUGUAGGCAAUUUUGUACGUAAGUAGUUUGCAUUCUUGGUUUUCUUCAAUAGUCUUUGGUGUAUUUUGUGAAACAAAAAGGUGAAAUAAAGAUAGCAAUAUUUUACCUUCAUUCACAUAUGAAAGACUUCCUAUCCUUGGCUUAUUUAUUUGGCCUGCUUAUUGGAUUAUUUUUACUCCAUGGCUUGCAUAUCUGAAGUAUUUAUUGGAUUUAGGUGUAUCUGUCCACCAUUGUCCUUGUUUGCACAGAGAUUCAGUUUUUCAAAGUGC